CCUACGGGAGGCAGCAGUGGGGAAUAUUGCACAAUGGGGGAAACCCUGAUGCAGCGACGCCGCGUGAGUGAAGAAGUAUUUCGGUAUGUAAAGCUCUAUCAGCAGGGGAGAAAAUGACGGUACCUGAUUAAGAAGCCCCGGCUAACUACGUGCCAGCAGCCGCGGUAAUACGGAGGGGGCAGGCGUGAUACGGAUUUAUUGGGUGUAAUGGGAGCGUAGACGGGUGUACAAGUCCGGAGGGAAAGGCCGGGGCUUAACCCCGGAACUGCUUUGGAAACUGGGCAUCUAGAGUGCAAGAGAGGUAAGUGGAAUGCGUGGUGUAGCGGUGAAAUGCGUAGAUAUCACGAAGAACACCGGUGGCGAAGGCGGCAUACUGGACUGUAACUGACGUUGAGGCUCGAAAGCGUGGGUAGCAAACAGGAUUAGAUACCCGAGUAGUC
RNAcentral lists this ribosomal RNA (440 nucleotides) under uncultured bacterium. RNAcentral describes it as "partial 16S ribosomal RNA". It matches the Rfam family "Bacterial small subunit ribosomal RNA", at positions 338 to 795 of the family's 1533-position model. The record is from RNAcentral.